AGUCCAUAGGGUCUCAGGUCAUGGCGGUCCCGGGGCCCAGUCCCAGGGCCCGAGCCCAGAGCUGGUGCCAGAGCAAUUGGUGAUCUACCAGGUUGGCUUGAUCCCCAGUCAGUACUAUGGGGUGCUGGGAAAAAAAGACUUGGAAGCAUUUAAGACUCUGACAUUCCUGGCUGUCAUGCUCAUUGUUCUGAACUCCACGGGCCGUGUGUACUACACUCUCAACGUGCUGCGGGAUGACAUCGAUAACCCGGACCAGCGCAUCAGCCAGGCUGUGGAGCGAUUCUGCCGGCAGCUCAGCAGCAUGGCCAGCAAGCUGAUCGUCUCCCCCUUCACCCUCGUCUACUACACUUACCAGUGCUUCCAAAACACAGGCUGGCUUGGGCCUAUGAGCAUCUUCGGAUAUUUCAUCCUGGGGACUCUGGUGAACAAAACUUUGAUGGGGCCCAUUGUGACGAAGCUGGUGCAUUAGGAGAAGCUGGAGGGAGAUUUUAGGUUCAAGCACAUGUAGAUUCGUGUGAAUGCUGAGCCUGCUGCUUUCCACAGAGCUGGGCAUGUAGAGCACAUGAGGACAGGCUGCAGAGACUCCUUCAGACCCAGAAGGAGCUGAUGUCCAAGGAGCUCUGGCUGUACAACGGCACCAACACCUUUGACUAUCUGGGCAGCAUCGUGAGUUACGUUGUCAUCGCAAUCCCCAUUUUCAGUGGGGUCUAUGGAGCCCUGAGUCCCGCAGAGCUUAGUAUCCUGGUCAGCAAGAAUGCCUUUGUGUGCAUCUACCUCAUCAGCUGCUUCACUCAGCUCAUCGACCUGUCCACAACGCUCUCCGAUGUGGCUGGCUACAUGCACGGGAUUGGGCAGCUUCGGGAGACGCUGCUGGACAUGUCCCUGAAGUCACAGGACUGCGAGAUCCUGGGCGAGAGAGAGUGGGGCUUGGACAAAGGCCCGGGGAUGGCCAGCAGCAGAGCCAGCAGUCAUGGCAUUUCUCCUUGAGCGGAUCUCCAUCUUUGCUCCCUCAUCUGAGAAACCCCUAAGCAAGGAUCUGAGCCUACAGAUCUCCGAGGGACAGAGCCUGCUCAUCACAGGCAACACGGGCACUGGCAAGACCUCCUUGCUCCGGGUUCUGGGCGGCCUCUGGACGAGCACACGGGGCUCAGUGCAGAUGCUGACGGACUUUGGGCCCCAUGGGGUGCUAUUCCUGCCACAAAAGCCAUUCUUUACUGAUGGGACCCUUUGGGAGCAGGUGAUAUAUCCCCUGAAGGAGAUUUACCCUGACUCAGGUUCCACUGAUAUGAGAGGAUCUUGAGAUUCUUGGAAUUGACAGGCCUGUCCAGCUUGGUGGCAAGGACAGAGGGUCUGGACCAGCAGGUGGAUUAGAACUGGUAUGAUGUUCUGUCCCCGGGGAAGAUGCAAUGGCUGUCCUUUGCCCGACUCUUUUACUUGCCGCCGAAGUACGCAGUGCUUGAUGAAGCCACCAGUACUCUGACAGAGGAGGUGGAGAGCGAGCUCUAUCGCAUCGGCCAGCAGCUGGGGAUGACGUUCAUCAAUGUGGGACAUCGACAGAGCCUUGAGAAGUUUCAUUCCUUGGUUCUGAAACUCUGUGGAGGAGGAAGAUGGGAACUGAUGAGAAUCAAAGAGGAAUGAAGCUCGAGCUUUUGGAAGGAGAGCCACACUCUGGUGGAUCGGCAGCCCUCAGAGAGACCAGGAGGCCUCACGGGGAAGAACGAGCCCAGGUUGGCCACAUAGGUCCCGUGCAGGAGCCCUGGCAGUGGUGGGCUUAGCCCACGUCUGGGUCUCUGGGGGGGACACUGAGCCUCCCAGGGUUCAGCCUCCCAGGACUCUACUGCCUCAGCCAGAGCUUCCAUAUACUUGAAGUGCUGAUUACCUACAAAUGAUUUCAGAUCAUGUUUGCUAAAGAGAAAUCUGGAGGUGUGAGAUCUGUAAGAAAAGAAAGGUCAGGUUGGAAAGAAAUCUCUUGGAGUUAAGACAUCUGGAAAUCUUUUAAUCAGUUAAAUUGUGCAGCAAUAGAUUUUUAACUUUAAUCAAAAGACCAUUUAAGUUUUUUUAUAUAAGCUUUUUACAAAGAAAAGCUAAACAUUAAAAAUAAUUGCAGCUUUUUCUCUUCUUUAUC
RNA transcript from Sapajus apella (tufted capuchin), 2125 nucleotides. It is a transcript of the gene named ATP-binding cassette sub-family D member 4 pseudogene, with no coding region annotated. The record is from RefSeq and is a predicted model, not a curated record. NCBI's taxonomy places the organism in Eukaryota, Metazoa, Chordata, Mammalia, Primates, Cebidae. The transcript has a single exon.